GCAGACACAUUCCAGACAAUCAGCAGCAGACCCUCCCUCCCAGACCCUCCCACCUCCUGGACAGCAUCCAUUUUACAUUCAUUGUGAAGCUGCAUUCUUAGUGAGCUGUCCAGGAGGUGGGAGGGUCUGGGAGGGAGGGUCUGCUGCUGAUUGGCUGGAAUGUGUCUG
RNAcentral lists this microRNA precursor (168 nucleotides) under Pelobates cultripes (western spadefoot toad). The record is from RNAcentral. Lineage: Eukaryota; Metazoa; Chordata; Amphibia; Anura; Pelobatidae.